This 256-nucleotide unclassified non-coding RNA is filed under the name Hevea brasiliensis (rubber tree). Lineage: Eukaryota; Viridiplantae; Streptophyta; Magnoliopsida; Malpighiales; Euphorbiaceae. The record is from RNAcentral.
GCGCUGAUAAGCUUUUUCAUUGAGUAACAUAUUUCCUCCAGUACAAACUAAAUGUAAAUGGGGAUCAAUGCACAUAGCAAAACUUCUAUUCAUAUUCAAACUGAACUUCCACAUGCAUAUAUUUUCUCAUAAGACGAACAAUGGAUGAGGUGAAAUUAGCUAAAAUCUGGCACUCAACAUGGGUUUUAGCCUCAGAAACAACCCCAUAAAUAACCAAUUUCCUCAAAUUGGGGCACCUAGCUAGGAGCCCUGCCAC